Molecule: ribosomal RNA, 358 nt
Filed under: Pseudanabaena sp. SR411
Lineage: Bacteria; Bacillati; Cyanobacteriota; Cyanophyceae; Pseudanabaenales; Pseudanabaenaceae
Description: bacterial SSU rRNA
Rfam family: Bacterial small subunit ribosomal RNA
Source: RNAcentral
CAUGGAGAGUUUGAUCCUGGCUCAGGAUGAACGCUGGCGGUAUGCUUAACACAUGCAAGUCGAACGAAGUCUUCGGACUUAGUGGCGGACGGGUGAGUAACGCGUAAGAAUCUACCUAUAGGUUCGGGACAACAGUUAGAAAUGACUGCUAAUACCGGAUAUGCCUUCGGGUGAAAGUUUUAAUGCCUGUAGAUGAGCUUGCGUUCGAUUAGCUAGAUGGUGGGGUAAUGGCCUACCAUGGCGACGAUCGAUAACUGGUCUGAGAGGAUGACCAGUCACACUGGGACUGAGACACGGCCCAGACUCCUACGGGAGGCAGCAGUGGGGAAUUUUCCGCAAUGGGCGAAAGCCUGACGGA